UACGGAGGGUGCAAGCGUUAUCCGGAUUUACUGGGUUUAAAGGGAGCGCAGGCGGAUUGGUAAGUCAGUGGUGAAAUACCCGUGCUUAACAUGGGAACUGCCAUUGAUACUAUCAGUCUUGAAUGUUGUUGAGGUUUGCGGAAUAGGUCAUGUAGCGGUGAAAUGCAUAGAUAUGACCCGGAACACCUAUUGCGAAGGCAGCAGGCUAAACAAAUAUUGACGCUGAGGCUCGAAAGCGUGGGGAUCAAACAGG
Molecule: ribosomal RNA, 253 nt
Filed under: uncultured bacterium
Lineage: Bacteria
Description: partial 16S ribosomal RNA
Rfam family: Bacterial small subunit ribosomal RNA
Source: RNAcentral